AUUGAACGCUGGCGGCAUGCCUUACACAUGCAAGUCGAACGGCAGCACGGGUGCUUGCUCCUGGUGGCGAGUGGCGAACGGGUGAGUAAUACAUCGGAACAUGUCCUGUAGUGGGGGAUAGCCCGACGUAAGCCGGAUUAAUACCGCCUACGAUCCACGGAUGAAAGCGGGGGACCUUCGGGCCUCGCGCUUUAGGGUUGGCCGAUGGCUGAUUAGCUAGUUGGUGGGGUAAAGGCCUACCAAGGCGACGCUCAGUAGCUGGUCUGAGAGGACGACCAGCCACACUGGGACGGAGACACGGCCCAGACUCCUACGGGAGGCAGCAGUGGGGAAUUUUGGACAAUGGGCGAAAGCCUGAUCCAGCAAUGCCGCGUGUGUGAAGAAGGCCUUCGGGUUGUAAAGCACUUUUGUCCGGAAAGAAAUCCUUGGCUCUAAUACAGUCGGGGGAUGACGGUACCGGAAGAAUAAGCACCGGCUAACUACGUG
RNAcentral lists this ribosomal RNA (486 nucleotides) under uncultured bacterium. RNAcentral describes it as "partial 16S ribosomal RNA". It matches the Rfam family "Bacterial small subunit ribosomal RNA", at positions 30 to 507 of the family's 1533-position model. The record is from RNAcentral.